Molecule: ribosomal RNA, 253 nt
Filed under: uncultured bacterium
Lineage: Bacteria
Description: partial 16S ribosomal RNA
Rfam family: Bacterial small subunit ribosomal RNA
Source: RNAcentral
UACGGUAGGUGGCAAGCGUUGUCCGGAAUUAUUGGGCGUAAAGCGCGCGCAGGCGGUCCUUUAAGUCUGAUGUGAAAGCCCACGGCUCAACCGUGGAGGGUCAUUGGAAACUGGGGGACUUGAGUGCAGAAGAGGAAAGCGGAAUUCCACGUGUAGCGGUGAAAUGCGUAGAGAUGUGGAGGAACACCAGUGGCGAAGGCGGCUUCUGGUCUGUAACUGACGCUGAGGCGCGAAAGCGUGGGGAGCAAACAGG